Pelobates cultripes (western spadefoot toad) is the source of this 249-nucleotide non-coding RNA. Lineage: Eukaryota; Metazoa; Chordata; Amphibia; Anura; Pelobatidae. The record is from the annotation of a GenBank genome assembly.
GGGGAGACUAGUGACAGAGGGAGGGAAUGGGAGACUAGUGACAGAGUGAGGGAAUGGGUGACUAGUGGCAGAGUGAGGGAGGGAAGUCACCCCACCCCUCUCUCUGUCACUAGUUACUCCCUCCCUAACUCUGUCACUGUGUCACCCGCUCCCUCACUCUGUCACUAAUCACCCCCUCUCUCCCUAGUCACCCCCUUCCUUACUCUGUCACUAGUCACCCCAUCCCUCUCUCUGUCACUAGUCACUCCC